UGAUUUUUGUUAUUUAUAAAAAAAAUCUUUAUAAUUUUAAACGUUAACAUCGACAAAUAUUUAAAUAUUUAAGAUAUGGAGGUAUAGUAUUACAACAUUAAACUAUAUCUAUUUAAUUUAUACUAUCUAUAAAUCUAAUGGAUCAUCUAUUGCUUAAAUUCAAUUAUUAAUAAUCCAAUAAAAAUUUCUGGUAGACCUAAAAUUUAAAUGAUAAGAUUAGAGACUAAAUAUAACAUGACUUUAUAAGAAUAUAUCUAUUAGGUCUUUGGUUCGCAUAGUCUAUAUGAGCCUAUUUGUUGAUGACAAAAAAAAGUCCAUUAGGUCUAUUUUAAAAAAUAUCACACAUGAAUCGAAGUUGUGACUUCUGUUUUAAUAUACAAGAUAUUGGAAAUGAUUUAGCGUUAAAAAAACAAAACCCAUCAUAGUAUAUUUUAUAGAUAAUCUAUCUACUAUUAUUUGAGAAGUGAAUUUCCUGAUUUGUCAUCUACUCCAUAAUUUUAGGUUUAUUCAAUAGUUUUUCUAUAUUUUAUAGUUAAAAAUUAAGAUAAUCUUUUUAUAAUUAAAUAUUAAUUAAACAAAAAUAUUUGUAUAAAGCUAUUUUCUGAAAUAGUUUUAAUAUGUGAGUUAAAAUUUUCGACUCAAUAAUAAGCAUAUAUAUUUUGAUGAAGAUUUUUGUCAUAUAUAAAUAAUUUGAUGUUUGAUUAAACUUUUCAAGACAUAUGAAUUAAUAAAAUAUAACUAAUAAAUAUUUAUAAGAUGUUUAUGGCCGUAUGUGUAUAUUUAGCGUUAAAGAAAAAAAAAUCAUGAGAGUAUAUCUAUCUAUCUAUCUAUUACAAUAAGCGAGACUCUUUUUUUUGAUCAAACAAUAAAAGAGAUUUGUCUCUCUCCACAGCCCUCCAAAUCAUCAUCUUAGCAUGGGGCAAAACUGGACACGUGACGGGUGAAUGAUUUUUUAGUUUAAGCUUUUUUUUUCUUUUUUUCUUUUUUUUACUUUUGGAGUGUUUGGCCUCUUAUUUUUUCUUUUGUUAUUAUAGUUUGCUGGAGUUUGGGAUUUUACAUGACAUUUUUGUUCAGGCCAAUCACGUGUAGGGAAUCCGUCGUAGUGAAUCCGUCGAUCAACUCACUGUAAUGUAUCUCAUUUGCGUUAAAACAUACUCUAAUCUGAGUUUUAACGUGAUUACCCCCACCUCCCACUCUCAAACAUUCAAUCGGACUCAUCGUCUCCAAAUUAAACCGACAGAAGCUCCGACUAUAAAUCUCCUAGCGAUAACAGCACAACUUCACCAAAUCGAGAAGACAAUUCUCUGCUAAUUACCCACUCCGAGAAUGGCUAAUUCCUUCAACAUUCUUGCGGAUUUGAAAACGGGGACCAGUCUCCAACAUCUUCUGAUCCGCGUUCACCCUCUCGAUCACUCCCUAACUUUCGUUAUCAUCUCCUUGCUACUUUCGAUUUCAAAAUGUUAGUGUUUUUUCUUUGUUUUUUAUGUGGGAUAGCGUUGGAGAUCAAAUGAUUGAUCUUUUGAUUUUAACACGUUUGAUUAUAAUUUUAUGUGCAUGAAGAUGACAGGCUUAGAGUAUAUGAUCAGUGAUCCUACUGCCAUUGUCCCGACAAGUUUAUAUCGAUGCUAACGUAUAAUAUCUUGGACGGUACUACUCCCUCUGUUUCCGAAAGAAAAACUUUCUAGAGUAUUCACACAUAUUAAAGAAACAAUUAAUUUUGUACAAUUGAAUUUAUUAUUUAUUUUACUAUACAUUUUCCAAUAAAUAUCAACCAAUAGUAUUCAACCAAUUCAAAUAUUUUCAAUUAAUGUUUCUUAAAAGUACAAUAACUACUAAAAAUACCUUAAAAUUUUUAGAAAAUUUAUCAUUUUGGAAAAAAAAAAAUCUAGAAAAUCCUACUUUCAGGAACAGAGAGAGUAAUACCAGGCUCCAAAGGUUUUUUUUUAUUAUUAUUUUUAGUUGCUGCUAAAGUGUUUUUUUUUCUUCUCUUUCUCCUUUAAGGUCGGGCUGUUUAUAAUAUUUAGAAAGUUUUCUAUCCAGCUGCGUUGAAGUUGGAGACCGUUAGGCAGGGUAAGAUUUUGUUUUCUUCAAUAAGUUGGUUCUGUCUCAGUUUCAUGUGAUGUAAAUCUUUUUGCUACUAAGAGUUAGUUUCAAAAUUUGAUGCGAGCUUGACUAGCUAUGUCCAUAAGAAUGGACUGAGAAGUAUAUGUUUUUUAUGAACUGCAUGUAGAUGCAAAUGUACAAAUACUUUUCAAUUAAUUUAGGAAGCUCAUAGCUGAAUAGAUUUAAUUUAUCAAGUACUUUAGUAUAUGUUGUUCUUUGUUGUGAUUAACUUCAUCGAUCUUAUGAUAUGAUCUAUGGUUUUAAGUUGAUGCUAAAAACCAGAACGACCUUCUGAGACAAAGCCCCCAAUAGUACACAAUCUUUCACACCACUUCUCUUUCGGUAAGUAUCUCCAAUAAAAAUUAAUUUUUUUCCUCAAUUGGGUUUUGUGGGAUUUCUCUGUGACAAAGCAAUUGAAUUUGAUGUUCUUAGAUUCAUCAAAAGAUGUCUUCGUAGAAAACAGGAAGCAACACACCUUAUAUAAGAAAAAAGGGAAUUGAACAGUAUCUAUGUCGAAGAAGUCAAGAGUUCUUUGAGCAAUGCGUUUCUUCAGGCCAAUCUUGCUUUAGCAAAGGACACAACAAUUUUCUCAGAUUUUUCUUCUGGUACCUCGGCUCUUGCUGCCCUUAUUUUUGGAAGACACUUAAUGGUUGCAAAUGCAGGAGAUGGCAAAGCUGUUCUCUGUAGGAAUGGUGAAGCCAUAGACAUGUCUCAAGACCACACACCAAUUUACUUACCGUAAAGAAGAAAGUCGAAGGAAGUGGCGGCUUUGACGAUGCCAAUUACUUAAAUGGCAUAGCGAUUAGGACAUGAAAUUACCACGAGGGUCACGAUCUCCACUCAUAGCAGAGUCAGGAGAUCAAAAAGAUACAUUUAACAGAGGAAGACAAGUUUAUGAUACUGGGAUGCGACGAGAUUUGGGACGUUUGACAAUUCAAAAGGUUUUUGUAUCGUUAGGUGUGAAUUACGUCAUCACCAUGACCCGAUAAAGCUUGCUUUGAGGUCUUUAUGGCUAGAUAAGUUUGCUAACCUAACAUUGGCUGUUUAAUUCUUGUCAGCUGAUGACAUGGCGAUGGUCGCUCCUCCGGUGGAGGAUCAAGUUUGACGGCAUAAGCUUCUCAGAGAUUGAGGGCCUUAUUUGACGGUUGAAUGACAAGAUAGUGACACUCCCUUUUGUGUUCUUGGCUGAGCUUUUUCUUUUUGUUGUAUAUUUGGUGUCUGUAUGUAACUUCGAGUGUCUACGUGCCCCAGUUUUGUGUAAGCGGUUAUGUGUUUGUGCAUGGAUUGUAAGUUUUUUAUAUGUACGUGCUUCAUUUAGCUUAUAUAACUGCAUGGAUUCCAGUUUAUGAAAACAAACUAGAUUUGUAUGUUUGGUCGCUAACUACAUACAUAUCCAAUUUGUAUGCUUGGUCGGUCGCUAUUUUGUCCACUUUCUUAAGCAAGCAAAUAGUUUUGUAAUAUGAACAUUAACAAUAUACAUUAUUAAACAUUUAAUGUUAAUUAGAAACCAACACUUGUCCAACAUGAAAAUAGUUUUACAUAUUUGUUCACUUUUUAGAAUAUUAUAACUACACUAGAAAUUCUAAAUAUUCGAUAAAUUAAUAAACAUUAUAAAUUAAUAAAUUUUAUCAAUUUCAAGUUGGGUCAUUCAAAAUAUGAAACAAAUCGAUAAUAAUAAAAUAAUAUAUUGUUGAAGAUCCCAUGUAAAUACAUAGUCUCGCUAUAAUCAUAAUUUAAUAAUUUCUAUAUAUAAAGUUCCUAUAAGUAUAAAUAAUAUAUUAUAUUGUUUGUUUUCGAUUUAUAAUGGAUUUUAUUUUUUACUAUUAUUUUAUAAUAUCAAAAAUUUGUCUCUAAAAUACAUUUAAAUUAUAUGAUACAUAUCUCGUAUACAUUAAAUAAUAUAAUAAAAAGGAUAUGCAGGUCGAAUGUAUAAAAUUUAAUGAAUAUAUAAACAGUGAAAUCAAGUAUUUUUUUCUUAUUAUACGUAAAUAUUUUCAAAAUAUAUAUUUUAAAAUGAUUUUUUAUGAAUUAAUAAUUCUGUAAAUUAAUUAAUUUAUAUAGUGCCAACAUUAUUAAUAGAGGUUGACCGUAUUUUUAUUUGUCCAUUUUCUCAAACAAAUAGUUUAGUAGUAUGCACAUUAAUUAACACUACAUUAUUAAAACUAAAAAUGAACUAUAAGUUUCUGUCUAACAUGAAAAGUUUCUAUAACUUCCAUAAAGCAAUACUUUUACACUUUAAAAAAGUAGAGGCAUCCACAUAAAUUGAUACAUCAGUUGAUGUCAAAUUAAUCAACAAUACCCUCAAAAGAUGUUCAUAUUUAAACAACAUCGAAAAGUUUAAAGCAAAAAGGAAAACAACUACAACUAUUAAUAUAGCAGUAACCUGCCAUCUAACAAAAGUUCUAUAUUAGAUCUUCAACAAAGAGAAAGAUUCACAAAAAUACAUAUUUCUCCACUAUAUUCAAAGAAAAAAAAAGAAAAAACAAAUAAAAUG
Brassica rapa (field mustard) is the source of this 4597-nucleotide long non-coding RNA. RefSeq lists it as uncharacterized. The record is from RefSeq and is a predicted model, not a curated record. Lineage: Eukaryota; Viridiplantae; Streptophyta; Magnoliopsida; Brassicales; Brassicaceae.